GGUCUGGUGGUCUAGUGGUAUGAUUCGCGCUUAGGGCUUACCCUGAGUAAAAUGCGCGAGGUCCGUAAGUACUAUCAUUCAAUUCUGAAUCAGCACAUCAACAUAUUCUAACAUCAACAUAGCGGGUUCAAUCCCCGGCCAGACCC
Non-coding RNA from Cytospora paraplurivora, 146 nucleotides. NCBI's taxonomy places the organism in Eukaryota, Fungi, Ascomycota, Sordariomycetes, Diaporthales, Cytosporaceae. The record is from the annotation of a GenBank genome assembly.